GAUGAACGCUGGCGGCAUGCCUAACACAUGCAAGUCGAUCGGUAAGGCUCUUCGGAGUACACGAGAGGCGGACGGCUGAGUAACGCGUAGGAACACACCCUGCAGUGAGGGAUAAGACACCGAAAGGUGUUCUAAUACCGCAUACGGUCUUCGGAUUAAAGCAUUUAUGCGCUGAAGGAGUGGCCUGCGUCAUAUUAGAUAGUUGGUGAGGUAAUGGCUCACCAAGUCGAUGAUGUGUAGCUGGUCUGAGAGGAUGAUCAGCCAGACUGGAACUGAGACACGGUCCAGACUCCUACGGGAGGCAGCAGUGAGGAAUAUUUCACAAUGAGCGAAAGCGUGAUGGAGCAAUGCCGCGUGCAGGAUGAAGGCCCUCGGGUUGUAAACUGCUUUUAUAAGAGAAGAUUAUGACGGUAACUGAUGAAUAAGGGACGGCUAACUACGUG
RNAcentral lists this ribosomal RNA (443 nucleotides) under uncultured bacterium. RNAcentral describes it as "partial 16S ribosomal RNA". It matches the Rfam family "Bacterial small subunit ribosomal RNA", at positions 28 to 507 of the family's 1533-position model. The record is from RNAcentral.